AUCUACGGCCAUACCACCCUGAACGUGCCCGAUCUCGUCUGAUCUUAGAAGCAAAGCAGGGUCGGCGUGGUUAGUACUUGGAUGGGAGACGGCCUAGGAAUACUGGGUGCCGUAGGCU
Molecule: ribosomal RNA, 118 nt
Filed under: Saimiri boliviensis boliviensis (Bolivian squirrel monkey)
Lineage: Eukaryota; Metazoa; Chordata; Mammalia; Primates; Cebidae
Source: RNAcentral